RNAcentral lists this ribosomal RNA (679 nucleotides) under Nocardioides terrigena. RNAcentral's name for it is "bacterial SSU rRNA". It matches the Rfam family "Bacterial small subunit ribosomal RNA", at positions 123 to 817 of the family's 1533-position model. The record is from RNAcentral. Lineage: Bacteria; Bacillati; Actinomycetota; Actinomycetes; Propionibacteriales; Nocardioidaceae.
AAUCUGCCCUCCACUUUGGGAUAGCCACCGGAAACGGUGAUUAAUACCGGAUAUGACCUUUGCCCGCAUGGGUGUUGGUGGAAAGUUUUUCGGUGGGGGAUGUGCUCGCGGCCUAUCAGCUUGAUGGUGGGGUAAUGGCCUACCAUGGCUUCGACGGGUAGCCGGCCUGAGAGGGUGACCGGCCACACUGGGACUGAGACACGGCCCAAACUCCUACGGGAGGCAGCAGUGGGGAAUAUUGGACAAUGGGCGGAAGCCUGAUCCAGCAACGCCGCGUGAGGGAUGACUGCCUUCGGGUUGUAAACCUCUUUCAGCACAGACGAAGCGAAAGUGACGGUAUGUGCAGAAAAAGCACCGGCCAACUACGUGCCAGCAGCCGCGGUAAUACGUAGGGUGCGAGCGUUGUCCGGAAUUAUUGGGCGUAAAGGGCUCGUAGGCGGUUUGUCGCGUCGGGAGUGAAAACACACAGCUUAACUGUGUGCUUGCUUCCGAUACGGGCAGACUAGAGGUAUGCAGGGGAGAACGGAAUUCCUGGUGUAGCGGUGAAAUGCGCAGAUAUCAGGAGGAACACCGGUGGCGAAAGCGGUUCUCUGGGCAUUACCUGACGCUGAGGAACGAAAGUGUGGGGAGCCAACAGGAUUAGAUACCCUGGUAGUCCACACCGUAAACGUUGGGCGCU